UGCCUCCGUACAAACAAAAACAAAGUGAAACCACGAAUGGCUCAUUAAAUCAGUUAUUAUCUAUUAGAUUAUAACUAUCUACAUGGAUAACUGUAGUAAUUCUAGAGCUAAUACAUGCCUUAAGCUUCGACCUUACGGGAGAGGUGGCACUUUAUUAGACCAAGAUCAUCGGGUUCGUCCCUUUGUGAAUGGUGACUCUUGAUAACUACGCUAAUCGCAUGGCCCUAGCGCCGGCGAUAGGUCUAAUGAGUAACUGCCCUAUCAACUAGAUGGUAGGUUAGUCGCCUACCAUGGUUGUUACGGGUAACGGGGAAUCAGGGUUCGAUUCCGGAGAGGGAGCCUGAGAAACGGCUACCACAUCCAAGGAAGGCAGCAGGCACGCAAAUUACCCACUCUUAGAACGAGGAGGUAGUGACGAAAAAUACCGGUGCGGGACUCUUAGGAGGCCUCGUAAUCGGAAUGAGCCAGACAUAAAUCCUCUCACGAGGAGCUAUUAGAGGGCAAGUCUGGUGCCAGCAGCCGCGGUAAUUCCAGCUCUAAUAGCGUAUACUAAAAUUGUUGCGUUUAAAAAGCUCGUAGUUGGAUCUCGACUCAUGUUAGGUAGCCCACCUUUGGUGGUUACUGCCUGACUGAGUUAAAAAAGGAUUCGUCUCUUAAUGCUCUUAAUUGAGUGUUUUGAGCGAACCAUAGUCUUUACUUUGUUAAAACCAGAGUGCUUCAAGCAGGCAUUCGCCCGAAUAAUCUUGCAUGGAAUAAUGGAAUAGGACUUCGGUUCUAUUCUGUUGGUCUUCGGAUCCGAGGUAAUGAUUAAGAGGGACAGACGGGGGCAUUAGUAUUACGGCGCUAGAGGUGAAAUUCUUGGACCGUCGUAAGACUAACAACAGCGAAAGCAUUUGCCAAGAAUGUUUUCUUUAAUCAAGAACGAAAGUUAGAGGUUCGAAGGCGAUCAGAUACCGCCCUAGUUCUAACCAUAAACGAUACUGACCAGUGACCAGCCUGGAAAGGAAUUUUACGGACCAGGCUGGGAACUUCUUCGGGAAACCAAAGUUUUUGGGUUCCGGGGGAAGUAUGGUUGCAAAACUGAAACUUAAAGGAAUUGACGGAAGAGCACCACCAGGAGUGGAGCCUGCGGCUUAAUUUGACUCAACACGGGAAAACUCACCCGGCCCGGACACGAUAAGGAUUGACAGAUUGAUAGCUCUUUCUUGAUAUUGUGGGUGGUGGUGCAUGGCCGUUCUUAGUUGGUGGACCGAUUUGUCUGGUUAAUUCCGAUAACGAACGAGACUUAUGCCUAAUAAAUAGACACCAUUCUCCUUCGGGCGAAUGCUGACUUCUUAAAGGGACAAGCGGUGUUAAAGCCGCACGAGAAAGAGCAAUAACAGGUCUGUGAUGCCCUUAGAUGUCCGGGGCCGCACGCGCGCUACACUGAAGGGUGCAGCGUGUGUGGGUUUCCUGCUCCGAAAGGAGUGGGGAACCAUGGGAAACCUCUUCGUGCUUGGGAUAGGGCAUUGUAACUAUACCCUUGAACGAGGAAUUCCCAGUAAGCGUGAGUCAAUACCUAGCGUUGAUUACGUCCCUGCUCUUUGUACACACCGCCCGUCGCUACUACCGAUUGAAUGAUUUAGUGAGGUCUUCGGACUGAAUGUUGCAGACUCUUCGGACGAUGCGACGUUCGGAAAGAUGACCGAACUUGAUCAUUUAGAGGAAGUAAAAGUCGUAACAAGGUUUCC
This 1730-nucleotide ribosomal RNA is filed under the name Hydrachna globosa. RNAcentral describes it as "SSU rRNA". It matches the Rfam family "Eukaryotic small subunit ribosomal RNA". Lineage: Eukaryota; Metazoa; Arthropoda; Arachnida; Trombidiformes; Hydrachnidae. The record is from RNAcentral.